This 253-nucleotide ribosomal RNA is filed under the name uncultured bacterium. RNAcentral's name for it is "partial 16S ribosomal RNA". It matches the Rfam family "Bacterial small subunit ribosomal RNA", at positions 524 to 776 of the family's 1533-position model. The record is from RNAcentral.
UACGUAGGGUGCGAGCGUUAAUCGGAAUUACUGGGCGUAAAGCGUGCGCAGGCGGCUUUGCAAGACAGAGGUGAAAUCCCCGGGCUCAACCUGGGAACUGCCUUUGUGACUGCAAGGCUAGAGUACGGCAGAGGGAGAUGGAAUUCCGCGUGUAGCAGUGAAAUGCGUAGAUAUCGGGAGGAACACCAGUGGCGAAGGCGACUACCUGGCCUGUUCUUGACGCUGAGGCGCGAAAGCUAGGGGAGCAAACGGG